GCGGGUGUGGCGGAAUUGGUAGACGCGCUAGACUUAGGAUCUAGUGGAUUGCUCCGUGGGGGUUCGAGUCCCUUCACCCGCACCA
This 85-nucleotide transfer RNA is filed under the name Bacillota bacterium. Its description in RNAcentral is "tRNA-Leu". It matches the Rfam family "tRNA". From Rfam's summary of the family: Transfer RNA (tRNA) molecules are approximately 80 nucleotides in length. Their secondary structure includes four short double-helical elements and three loops (D, anti-codon, and T loops). Further hydrogen bonds mediate the characteristic L-shaped molecular structure. tRNAs have two regions of fundamental functional importance: the anti-codon, which is responsible for specific mRNA codon recognition, and the 3' end, to which the tRNAs corresponding amino acid is attached (by aminoacyl-tRNA synthetases). tRNAs cope with the degeneracy of the genetic code in two manners: having more than one tRNA (with a specific anti-codon) for a particular amino acid; and 'wobble' base-pairing, i.e. permitting non-standard base-pairing at the 3rd anti-codon position. Lineage: Bacteria; Bacillati; Bacillota. The record is from RNAcentral.